This 119-nucleotide ribosomal RNA is filed under the name Lepisosteus oculatus (spotted gar). The record is from RNAcentral. Lineage: Eukaryota; Metazoa; Chordata; Actinopteri; Semionotiformes; Lepisosteidae.
GCCAGAAGCCAUAUCACCCUGCAACUCACAACGGGCAACCCACUGAAGCUAAACAGGUGAGAGCCUGGUCAGUACCUGGAUGGGAGACCUCCUGGGAAAAACUAAGGCUGCUGCUGGAA